CAGAGUAAAUGAUAAGCUUAAGAUGGUAAUCCACGGUCCUCGUCUUAGUUUGUUUAAAGGAUCCUUCACAAUAACAACAAUAAGAAGACCAUUUGUAAGGACACCAACUGUGGAGACCACCAUUGUUGUUAUUAAUAUAUCUUGAGGAAGUGAGAAACUUUUCUUCGGUUUCUUAUUAAAUACAUAAAUAUAUGUUUA
This is a long non-coding RNA of Xenia sp. Carnegie-2017, 198 nucleotides long. RefSeq lists it as uncharacterized. The transcript is spliced from 2 exons. The record is from RefSeq and is a predicted model, not a curated record. NCBI's taxonomy places the organism in Eukaryota, Metazoa, Cnidaria, Anthozoa, Malacalcyonacea, Xeniidae.